Molecule: transfer RNA, 73 nt
Filed under: Candidatus Riesia sp.
Lineage: Bacteria; Pseudomonadati; Pseudomonadota; Gammaproteobacteria; Enterobacterales; Enterobacteriaceae
Description: tRNA-Arg
Rfam family: tRNA
About the family: Transfer RNA (tRNA) molecules are approximately 80 nucleotides in length.
Source: RNAcentral
GCGCUUGUAGCUUAAUGGAUAGAGCAUCGGCCUUCUAAGCCGAGGGUUGUAGGUUCGAAUCCUACCAGGCGUG